GACGAACGCUGGCGGCGUGCCUAAUACAUGCAAGUAGAACGCACAGUUUAUACCGUAGCUUGCUACACCAUAAACUGUGAGUUGCGAACGGGUGAGUAACGCGUAGGUAACCUGCCUGGUAGCGGGGGAUAACUAUUGGAAACGAUAGCUAAUACCGCAUAAUAUUGAUUAUUGCAUGAUAAUUGAUUGAAAGAUGCUAUUGCAUCACUACCAGAUGGACCUGCGUUGUAUUAGCUAGUAGGUGAGGUAACGGCUCACCUAGGCGACGAUACAUAGCCGACCUGAGAGGGUGAUCGGCCACACUGGGACUGAGACACGGCCCAGACUCCUACGGGAGGGAGCAGUAGGGAAUCAUCGGCAAUGGACGAAAGUCUGACCGAGCAACGCCGCGGGAGUGAAGAAGGUUUUCGGAUCGUAAAGCUCUGUUGUAAGAGAAGAACGGGUGUGAGAGUGGAAAGUUCACACUGUGACGGUAUCUUACCAGAAAGGGACGGCUAACUACGUG
RNAcentral lists this ribosomal RNA (505 nucleotides) under uncultured bacterium. RNAcentral's name for it is "partial 16S ribosomal RNA". It matches the Rfam family "Bacterial small subunit ribosomal RNA", at positions 28 to 507 of the family's 1533-position model. The record is from RNAcentral.